Molecule: ribosomal RNA, 467 nt
Filed under: uncultured bacterium
Lineage: Bacteria
Description: partial 16S ribosomal RNA
Rfam family: Bacterial small subunit ribosomal RNA
Source: RNAcentral
GACGAACGCUGGCGGCGUGCUUAACACAUGCAAGUCGAACGGAAAGGCCCUGCUUUUGUGGGGUGCUCGAGUGGCGAACGGGUGAGUAACACGUGAGUAACCUGUCCUUGACUUUGGGAUAACUUCAGGAAACUGGGGCUAAUACCGGAUAGGAGCUCCUGCUGCAUGGUGGGGGUUGGAAAGUUUCGGCGGUUGGGGAUGGACUCGCGGCUUAUCAGCUUGUUGGUGGGGUAGUGGCUUACCAAGGCUUUGACGGGUAGCCGGCCUGAGAGGGUGACCGGCAAAUUUGGGACUGAGAUCCGCCCAGGCUCCUACGGGGAGCAAGAGGGGGGAAAAUUUGAAAAAGGGGCGGAGGCUUAAUGAGCCACGCCCGCGGGGGGAAUACGGCCCUUCGGGUGGUAACCGGUUUCCCCCUGGGCCGAGGGGUGGGUGCGGGUAAGGGUUAAGAAGCACCGGCUAACUACGUG